UACGUAGGGGGCUAGCGUUAUCCGGAAUUACUGGGCGUAAAGGGUGCGUAGGUGGUUUCUUAAGUCAGAGGUGAAAGGCUACGGCUCAACCGUAGUAAGCCUUUGGAACUGGGGAACUUGAGUGCAGGAGAGGAGAGUGGAAUUCCUAGUGUAGCGGUGAAAUGCGUAGAUAUUAGGAGGAACACCAGUUGCGAAGGCGGCUCUCUGGACUGUAACUAACACUGAGGCACGAAAGCGUGGGGAGCAAACAGG
This 252-nucleotide ribosomal RNA is filed under the name uncultured bacterium. Its description in RNAcentral is "partial 16S ribosomal RNA". It matches the Rfam family "Bacterial small subunit ribosomal RNA", at positions 524 to 776 of the family's 1533-position model. The record is from RNAcentral.